UGGGUGGAGCCUCUACUCACUCUCUUGUAUGCUGAGUUGCAGUGAGGUCAAGUCCUGCUAGAGUGUGUCUGGAGUCCAGAGGAGGCCUAAAGUCAGUCAAGCAGCCACAGAUUCUCAAGUCCAUUGCCCCACAGGUCAAGUCAAAACCUGGUGUCACAGGAUGCACUACUAAAAUAAAUCCAAUCCAUUACGGGCGCGGACGCCAUUACCGACAACAUUAGUGCUCUCCCGAGAGGCAGGAAAUUGCAUUUUUCUAAUAAUUGUGGCCUUCUAGAUCAUCUUGGAUAUCCUCUACCAUCCAGUUUUUCGUUUACUUCCAGUUCUUCAUGGUUUUUUCUUCCAUUGACUGUUCUUCAUGACCAUGAACCGAUGGUUUAUCUUCGUAUCUCCUAGUUAUGGAAAGAAGUUCCUAUUUAUCUUCUACUUCAUCAGCCCUGUAUUUUCAAGUUACGUCUUCUACACGUCUUACCUUCUACGUUUAACGCAAAGAAAGAGGAGGAGCUACAGUUUCAACGGAUUAUAUGUUAUAGACUACAUUCUGAUUGGUUACUAUACCUAUCAUAUGUCAUGUUUGGUUGCGCAAAAGUUUUUUGCUCUGUAUUCUAUAGACUGAUGCUUUGCUGCUGUGUCAGUAAA
This is a long non-coding RNA of Hyla sarda, 636 nucleotides long. RefSeq lists it as uncharacterized. The record is from RefSeq and is a predicted model, not a curated record. The transcript is spliced from 3 exons. Lineage: Eukaryota; Metazoa; Chordata; Amphibia; Anura; Hylidae.